CUUACCAUUGUACUUAUCCUGUAGGUCAAUGCAUCACGUCAAGAAGCCAAAUUGACAGAGGAGUGUGAUCUUCUCAUUGAGAUCAUUCAGCAAAGACGACAGAUUAUUGGAACCAAGAUCAAAGAAGGGAAGUGAUGAGGCUUCGCAAACUGGCUCAGCAGAUUGCAAACUGCAAACAGUGCAUUGAGCGGUCAGCAUCACUCAUCUCCCAAGCGGAACACUCUCUGAAGGAGAAUGAUCAUGCGCGUUUCCUACAGACUGCUAAGAAUAUCACCGAGAGGUGAGUGCAGGGGCCCCU
This 298-nucleotide long non-coding RNA is filed under the name Homo sapiens (human). Its description in RNAcentral is "non-protein coding lnc-ARHGAP6-7:8". The record is from RNAcentral. Lineage: Eukaryota; Metazoa; Chordata; Mammalia; Primates; Hominidae.